This 1551-nucleotide long non-coding RNA is filed under the name Anneissia japonica. RNAcentral's name for it is "uncharacterized LOC117122421". Lineage: Eukaryota; Metazoa; Echinodermata; Crinoidea; Comatulida; Comatulidae. The record is from RNAcentral.
AAAAAACAAAUGUUGUACACAAAAUGAUUACUAAGUCAAGGCUUCCAAGGUUUGUUUAUCCAGAUAUGAUGAUAAUCAGGUUUGUUUAUCCAGAUAUGAUGAUAAUUAGGUUUGUUUAUCCAGAUAUAACUAUCAUUUGUUCAGUCGCUAACAAAUUUAACAUUUUUUGGUGUUUUUACUUUUAUAUUGAAUAUGGUGGUGUGUCACUUUUUUUAUACAAUUCAAUUCUAUACUACGAUUUUCUGUAAUCAAUCAGAUUGCAUAGAUAUUGGGUAUUUUUGAAACUGAUUUUGCUAAUACAGUAUUUCAGGAAAUUUGUAAAACUGUCUAAACUUCCAGCCCUAACUUGGCAAACACAUUAAAAAUAUGAAAAAGAUAUAUAUUGAAAGUGCAUGAUUUUUGUAAAGUAAGUAAUGCAUCCAUCCAUCCACUUGGUCCAGCAUGGUUGGAAAAAUGUGCAUCCUGAAGAGUUAGAAAUACAAGAUUAAUGAAAUAAUGUAAUUUACAUCAUUACACCAAAUGAUUUGGGAUGAUGAAAGGACUACAGAUGGAAAGAUGAUGCUGUUAUGUUGGUCAAAGAUAAAUUAUUGCUGUGGUAGAGAACGGAAGAUGUAUUAAAUACUGACUUGUCUUAUAAUUAUAUUUCCAGUAUAUGUUACAUUGUACCCUAGUUCCUUGAUUUCAGUAUAAAUCCACCCCUAGAACACAAAAUUGGGUCGAGCUUGUACAUGGAGAUUAGAAUGUAGGUAAAUCAGAGGUGUACGCUGAAAAAUCUAAGGGGGGUCGAAACGAAAGCACAGGGGGGCAAGCUGAACUCGGAGCAAUUUAGCAAAGCUUUCAGAAUUCGCGGGGUGCGUUAUUUGUGAGUGAAGCGAGCAUAUUUAAAGGGCACUUUCUUUAAAAGGGGGGGGUCGACCGCACCCAUCGACCCCCCCCCCCCCCCCCAACGGUACGUCCCUGUAAAUAGUAGUGGGUGCAAUGCAAGUUAUUUCAUAUUUGUAUAAUUUUUUUUCAUAUUAUAUUAAAGACUCACAUAAUUUAUUGCAAAACCUAUUUUCAUUCCUGAUGAUGACAUAAUAUCAAAAUAUUGAAUCCCGACACGAUAGCGUGCAUUUCGAUACUUGGAGUAUGUAUUAUACUAUCUUAUCUGAGAUUAAUCAGUGGACCUUUCGGUUUUCUAUGAAACUAGAGUUGGGCAUUUUGCUACUGAAGUUACUGAACUAUACUAGGAUUGGUGGGUGAGGGGGUGAGUGGGGGGUGGGUGUUCUUAUAAUGAAGAUGAAAUUAUACCAAGGAAACCUUGGUACAUGUUUAUGCCCAAAUUCCUAUAAAAUAUUAGAUAAGUAGGACACAAUAUUAAGAGGUGUGUUACGGUAUAGGCCUAUGGUUGCUACACAGGAGUUACUGAUUGGCUAACGCUACACAUUCCACUGACAGAAAUAUGUACAUCUCCACAUUCCAGACUGAGUGAAUAGAUAGUAUCCACUGGAUGUCUUCUGGGUCAAAUAAUUGCUUCAAACGACCAUUUACAGACAGAGCAUUUGGAGGGAU